Molecule: ribosomal RNA, 1346 nt
Filed under: uncultured bacterium
Lineage: Bacteria
Description: partial 16S ribosomal RNA
Rfam family: Bacterial small subunit ribosomal RNA
Source: RNAcentral
GACGAACGCUGGCGGCGUGCUUAACACAUGCAAGUCGAACGGAAAGGCCCUGCUUUUGUGGGGUGCUCGAGUGGCGAACGGGUGAGUAACACGUGAGUAACCUGCCCUUGACUUUGGGAUAACUUCAGGAAACUGGGGCUAAUACCGGAUAGGAGCUCCUGCUGCAUGGUGGGGGUUGGAAAGUUUCGGCGGUUGGGGAUGGACUCGCGGCUUAUCAGCUUGUUGGUGGGGUAGUGGCUUACCAAGGCUUUGACGGGUAGCCGGCCUGAGAGGGUGACCGGCCACAUUGGGACUGAGAUACGGCCCAGACUCCUACGGGAGGCAGCAGUGGGGAAUAUUGCACAAUGGGCGGAAGCCUGAUGCAGCAACGCCGCGUGCGGGAUGACGGCCUUCGGGUUGUAAACCGCUUUCGCCUGUGACGAAGCGUGAGUGACGGUAAUGGGUAAAGAAGCACCGGCUAACUACGUGCCAGCAGCCGCGGUGAUACGUAGGGUGCGAGCGUUGUCCGGAUUUAUUGGGCGUAAAGGGCUCGUAGGUGGUUGAUCGCGUCGGAAGUGUAAUCUUGGGGCUUAACCCUGAGCGUGCUUUCGAUACGGGUUGACUUGAGGAAGGUAGGGGAGAAUGGAAUUCCUGGUGGAGCGGUGGAAUGCGCAGAUAUCAGGAGGAACGCCAGUGGCGAAGGCGGUUCUCUGGGCCUUUCCUGACGCUGAGGAGCGAAAGCGUGGGGAGCGAACAGGCUUAGAUACCCUGGUAGUCCACGCUGUAAACGGUGGGUACUAGGUGUGGGGUCCAUUCCACGGGUUCCGUGCCGUAGCUAACGCUUUAAGUACCCCGCCUGGGGAGUACGGCCGCAAGGCUAAAACUCAAAGGAAUUGACGGGGCCCCGCACAAGCGGCGGAGCAUGCGGAUUAAUUCGAUGCAACGCGUAGAACCUUACCUGGGUUUGACAUGGAUCGGGAGUGCUCAGAGAUGGGUGUGCCUCUUUUGGGGUCGGUUCACAGGUGGUGCAUGGCUGUCGUCAGCUCGUGUCGUGAGAUGUUGGGUUGAGUCCCGCAACGAGCGCAACCCUUGUUCACUGUUGCCAGCACGUUAUGGUGGGGACUCAGUGGAGACCGCCGGGGCCAACUCGGAGGAAGGUGGGGAUGACGUCAAGUCAUCAUGCCCCUUAUGUCCAGGGCUUCACGCAUGCUACAAUGGCUGGUACAGAGAGUGGCGAGCCUGUGAGGGUGAGCGAAUCUCGGAAAGCCGGUCUCAGUUCGGAUUGGGGUCUGCAACUCGACCUCAUGAAGUCGGAGUCGCUAGUAAUCGCAGAUCAGCAACGCUGCGGUGAAUAAAUUCCCGGGGCU